UGUCUAACGGACUUCAUUGAUCGUAAAGUUCAUACGAUCGGCUACGAUCAACGAUCAAUCGUAACUUUACAUUGGUAUUGUCUAAUUUAGUUCAUUAUAUGAAGACCGGAUGGUGAACGAUGAACUGAAAUCAUUCAUGAAGAUUGCGUAUUGUUUAUGCAAAACGAUAGUGAAACUAUCGUUAAUAAUAUUAUCAAAUUUAAGUCAAACUCCAUAAUAAUGCAUAUAUUUUAACAAAGUUUUAUGUCUUUUGUUUAAAACAUUAAAGAAGCAUUAAAUUUCACGACAAAUAUCUACUAUUGAAGACAAUAGCGUGAGAAAAUGGUACAUGCAACUCAAGUAACAAAACGCAAUUAACGAAUUUAACCAAGGGCUAUUUGGACUAUUUGGUAAUCUCCCUGUUGUCUGUGUAGGCUAGUGUCAAAAUAACGGGGUAUCCUAUUAGUCUGUGGUGAAACAUAGCAUAUUAAUAACCUGUGGAUUAGAAAUUUAAAUUUUAUAAACAAAACAAAGUUUUUAUUUUUCAGGUUUUAAAGAGAAUUUAGAAAUUGAGCAAAGUUUUACUAAAUUGUAGUGAUCUUAGGAGCAAAGUUUACUUCGUUUGUGUUAUUGUUAAUCAAAAAUAUAAAAGUAAACAAAAAAGAAAAACUACCUCUAUCUAAUUUUGUCGAUGUCCAUUUCUUAAGAAGUUUCUCAUUAAAACAACCCUUAACUCAGGCAAGGCAGGGCUAAGGUGGUUAGCGUAACUACAAGUGGUUAACUUACAGUUAGCCAACUGAAGAACAAUCAACAAUGCCCGAUUAAUAAGUGAUCGCGCUGCUUGUCUACUACUUGCUGCUUGUCCCUGCACUAGUUAUAGCAGUAAUUUCUUUGUUUGGAAGUAUUUAGCACAUCCGGGCUGCGCAAAAGGAGAGAGUGGGCAUUUCCUCUGUCUCUUAGAAAAGUCCGCAUGUUAUUUUUAUCCCAGUGUUAAUCUCUAAGUCUCGUAUGAAUCGGCACUAAUAUACAUAGGUUUACCUAAGUGUGUGAUUAGUGACUUCACAAACAGACUUAUUAUUAAAGGAUUUGAAAAGUUCUCUAGCUCUUUAGGGUGUUUUAUUCCUUCACCAGCCAACAACAGUGUCAUAAUUACAAUGGGUUCGCAGAGUUAGUUUAUCUAGGCAUUUAGAUAUACCAUUCAAAAUCUUCUACUGAGAGCAAAAUGUUACUGUUAUAUUUUAUUUUUUAUUCUUUACAAUUUAAACUGAAAAUCCACAACCCUUUCAGUUGCUACACGUCAUCACACCGGAAUGCUAAAUUGCUUGGCCGUAAGUCUCAAUUGGUCCAGCCGGGGAUCAAACAAAACUUCGGAACAUUAAUUAUCAUUAACAUCUGAUAGUGGUAUAUUAACACCAUAACUACCAAUCCACAUUGGAGCAGACUAAAUUGAUUAUUAUGAACAGACCAUUAUGAUGAACCACUGAUAUUGACUCAGAGACAUGAAGAUGAGUGCUUUGACAACAAGACUGACUAGCUGAGCCAGCUUAAGAAUUAUGUGGUGUGUGUGUGUGUCUAAUUCCAGGAGCUCUCUAUGUCAGCCAUCCAUCUAUAUUCUUACUCAUUUUUGUUAAUUAUAAAAUAAAUUUGAUUAUUUAGUGUGUAACUUCAUUGUACCUAUCCUGCUAGCUGUUAGAAAGAUAGCAUCUGUAAUAAUUUAUUUACGGUAAAACAUAUUUAAAAAUAAACAUGCUUUAACAUUUAAGUAUGGCCAAUAUGUUGUCAAGUACAUAGGGCAGGGCUGAAUCCAUGAUUGAUGACUGAUCCAUGAUGAUGACUCGUUUUUCUGAUUUAAGAAAAUAUACUAAUCAUCAAAACAGUGUCUGCAAGUACUGUACAGGCUGACUGUUUGGAUGAGAAGUAUAUAUUUGAUUAUUUUUAAGCUUUGUGGUUUCAGGGUUUAAAAAAUGUCUAACUGAAAGUCUAUGUUUACUGUAUUUAUUAUUAUUAUAAUAAAUAAACUUAAAAAAUC
Molecule: long non-coding RNA, 2008 nt
Organism: Bicyclus anynana (squinting bush brown)
Lineage: Eukaryota; Metazoa; Arthropoda; Insecta; Lepidoptera; Nymphalidae
Exons: 2
Source: RefSeq, a predicted model, not a curated record